Molecule: non-coding RNA, 369 nt
Organism: Vicia faba (fava bean)
Lineage: Eukaryota; Viridiplantae; Streptophyta; Magnoliopsida; Fabales; Fabaceae
Source: the annotation of a GenBank genome assembly
AUGUGCGGUUUCUCAUGGUUUCACAACAACAAAGAUAACACUCUAAACCGUAAACUCCCUACGGAUCACUCUCUUAUAGAUUCUAGAGAAAAAAAACGAUAUAACUAUAACUACGAUAAAUUUGAGAAAACAGAAGAGAAAACUUACAAGUUCAGAGCUAGUCCGUGGAUUUUGACGCCAGCAAAGAGUUUAGAUACUACGUGUGGGUCAGUAAUGUUAGGUUAUGCAGUAGAGUUCAAUAUAGGGUGUUGGGGCUGGGCAAAGGAAUUUUGGGCUAGUUGUUUGUGGUGCAUGGUGACAACAGUUUUGGACUAUUGUAUGGCAGCGAGGUCAUGGUUUUAUGGACAGAUUUUGCAGGCUGGUUUGUAG